This 252-nucleotide ribosomal RNA is filed under the name uncultured bacterium. RNAcentral's name for it is "partial 16S ribosomal RNA". It matches the Rfam family "Bacterial small subunit ribosomal RNA", at positions 524 to 775 of the family's 1533-position model. The record is from RNAcentral.
UACGUAGGGUGCGAGCGUUAAUCGGAAUUACUGGGCGUAAAGCGUGCGCAGGUGGUAAUGCAAGACAGAUGUGAAAUCCCCGGGCUUAACCUGGGAACUGCAUUUGUGACUGCAUUGCUGGAGUGCGGCAGAGGGGGAUGGAAUUCCGCGUGUAGCAGUGAAAUGCGUAGAUAUGCGGAGGAACACCGAUGGCGAAGGCAAUCCCCUGGGCCUGCACUGACGCUCAUGCACGAAAGCGUGGGGAGCAACAGG